RNAcentral lists this ribosomal RNA (423 nucleotides) under Adenomera andreae group sp. ABGD cluster 3. Its description in RNAcentral is "partial large subunit ribosomal RNA". It matches the Rfam family "Bacterial large subunit ribosomal RNA", at positions 1835 to 2457 of the family's 2925-position model. The record is from RNAcentral. Lineage: Eukaryota; Metazoa; Chordata; Amphibia; Anura; Leptodactylidae.
UUUGCUUAAAAUAAAAGGUCCAGCCUGCCCAGUGACACUGUUCAACGGCCGCGGUAUCCUAACCGUGCGAAGGUAGCGUAAUCACUUGUUCUUUAAAUGAGGACUAGUAUGAAAGGCACCACGAGAGUCAUACUGUCUCCUCUUUCCAAUCAGUUAAACUAAUCUCCCCGUGAAGAAGCGAGGAUAACUAUAUAAGACGAGAAGACCCUAUGGAGCUUUAAACGAAUAACACUUGCCCACUUACUCCUUUAAAUUUCAGAAAAAUCUAUUACCUUGGCAUCAUGCUUAUAAGUUUUUGAUUGGGGUGAUCACGGAACAAAAAAUAACCUCCGCAAUGAAAGACUCUCCAUAACUAAGUCAAGAACCACAACUCUACACAUCAACAAAUUGACACCAAUUGACCCAAUUUAUUGAUCAAUGAAC